This 191-nucleotide small nuclear RNA is filed under the name Leptobrachium leishanense (Leishan spiny toad). Its description in RNAcentral is "U2 spliceosomal RNA (ENSLLEG00000030155.1)". It matches the Rfam family "U2 spliceosomal RNA". From Rfam's summary of the family: U2 is a small nuclear RNA (snRNA) component of the spliceosome (involved in pre-mRNA splicing). Lineage: Eukaryota; Metazoa; Chordata; Amphibia; Anura; Megophryidae. The record is from Rfam by way of RNAcentral.
AUCGCUUCUCGGCCUUUUGGCUAAGAUCAAAUGUUGUAUCUGUUCUUAUCAGUUUAAUAUCUGAUACGCCCCCUAUCUGGGGGCCAUAUAUUAAAUGGAUUUUUAGAACAGGGAGAUGGAAGAAGAGCUUGCUCUGUCCACUCCACGCAUUGACCUGGUAUUGCAGUACCUCCAGGACCGGUGCACAAAAA